Molecule: long non-coding RNA, 286 nt
Filed under: Nicotiana benthamiana
Lineage: Eukaryota; Viridiplantae; Streptophyta; Magnoliopsida; Solanales; Solanaceae
Description: long non-coding RNA (NBEN_LNC019624)
Source: RNAcentral
CUCAACCAAAACCCAACUUAAUUUGACUCAAAAUCACUUGAAUAGAACUUCUGAACUUCAGCAACCCACAUAUUCAAUUUGAAAGUAAACAAUUCUUGAAGAAUAAUUAUCAGAACUCACAAUUCUCGAUGUAACAGUGUAUUUUGGUAUUUUAUGAAGAGUUUUUGUUGUUUUUUUGUUUUUCUAUGGAAAACUUAAUACUCUAAUAGAGAAUUUCAAAUUCCAGAUCUCAUUUUGAAUUUGAAACUAAGGAGAGUUUUUUUGGGGGUGGGGGGAAUUUUUGAGC